GCCGGGCGUGGUGGUGCAUGCCUGUAAUCCUAGCUACUUGGGAGGCUGAGGCAGGAGAAUUGCUUGAACCCAGGAGGCAGAGGUUGCAGUAAGUUGAGAUUGUGUUACUGCACUCCAGCCUGGGUGACAGACCGAGACUCUGUCUCAA
Molecule: unclassified non-coding RNA, 148 nt
Organism: Macaca fascicularis (crab-eating macaque)
Lineage: Eukaryota; Metazoa; Chordata; Mammalia; Primates; Cercopithecidae
Rfam family: Metazoan signal recognition particle RNA
About the family: The signal recognition particle (SRP) is a universally conserved ribonucleoprotein. It is involved in the co-translational targeting of proteins to membranes. The eukaryotic SRP consists of a 300-nucleotide 7S RNA and six proteins: SRPs 72, 68, 54, 19, 14, and 9.
Source: Ensembl